RNAcentral lists this unclassified non-coding RNA (2413 nucleotides) under Hevea brasiliensis (rubber tree). Lineage: Eukaryota; Viridiplantae; Streptophyta; Magnoliopsida; Malpighiales; Euphorbiaceae. The record is from RNAcentral.
GCCAAAAACCUUAACAGAAACUUGUCGUUGCCAAGAAGCAAGAUGCUCUGCGCUUAUCAUGGCUUCCGGAGGCAACGCAGCCGCCGGUUUAGGGAACGUGGAGUGGCAUGUGAGGCCUCCAAACCCUAAAAACCCUUGUUUUCUUCGAUAUUACCAUCGGCACCAUCCCUGCUGGUCGCAUCAAGAUGGAACUCUUCGCUGAUAUUGCCCCCAAAACCGCAGAAAAUUUCAGGCAGUUUUGCACUGGAGAGUACAGGUACAGAGAAUUUUCGAAAUUUUUUGGAUGAUGUUCUAUUUUCUGGUCAAUUUAGCUACUCAUUAAUUGGAUAAAAUGGGCAGAAAAGCAGGAUUACCGUUACAAAGGUUGCCAGUUCCAUCGGGUGAUUAAGGAUUUCAUGAUUCAAGCUGGUGAUUUUCUCAAGGGUGACGGUAGCGGAUGUGUUUCUAUAUAUGGACACAAGUUUGAGGAUGAAAACUUUAUUGCCAAACACACUGGUCCUGGUCUACUGUCAAUGGUGUGCAUCUCCUUUUCUACCGAAUAUAUGUCAUGUUGCUUUUAGUAUUGAAUGAUCGUGUAUUUUAGUUACUGUUAGAAGAUUUUUCUUUAUGUAUCAUUUGCAUCUUAUUUUGCUUUUCCAUAUGCAUUUUAUGUUUAGUUUCUAAAUUUUGCACAAAGUGACUGUUAAUAGGUCUGUCAAUGUAAUGAUCCGGAGGCAUUUCCUAAGAUAAAAAUCUCUUAAGAUUACCCCUUUUUUUAAAAUAUUUUUAGAGGUUUAUUGUGACCAAUGGACAAAACUUAGUAGGAUAAAGAAGUAUCUAUGUGCUUGGUAAGAGUUUGUAGUUUCCAGCUUGGUUAUAUAACUCAAAAGAUUAAAUGCACUAAACUUGUACUUAAUUUGCAUGAUAGGUAGAAGUUUUGUGACCAAAUUUGUCAGGGUUUUAUUCAUUUGUUAGAAGUACCACAUCUUUCCUUUAAACCCGCUUGAUUUCAGGUGAAAGCCCUAAUUUUUCUUUAUACAAAACCUUAAAUAUUUUUAGCAGUUGUCUACAUAUAUUGAUUUUAUGAUAAUCUUGAUUUUGAUACUAAGGACUAUCCUUACAUCAACUUUGUUGAAUAUGUAACUUUCUUCUGUUGCAGGCAAAUAGUGGACCAAACACAAAUGGCUGUCAGGUUCUCCCUUUCUCUUCUGUUCACACAGACACACAUCCUACUGCAUUUUGUGUUGGAUAAUUAGAAGUACCAUAUAUAUUGUAUGCAUGGGCAAGGGUCAAAAGCCUUCAAGGGAUAGCAGUCCCCAUUUCAAUCUUAUAAACUGGAGAUCAUGAUAUAAACAUUGUGUAUUUAAAUAUAUAUAAUUUUUAUUAAAAAAUAACAGUAUUGAUCCUCCACUAUAUUAGCUGCUUACUUGAACCAAUCCAAUAAAGUUGCCACUGGCCAGCUUUUUCCUCUUUAUUUCCCUUUCAUUUGCUCCCUUUUUAGGUAGGUAGAAGAACAGUUGUGCAUGAGAUGUUAAACUUGGAAUUUGACUGUCCUCAUGUUGUUAUUCUACCUCUUGAGCCCUGAUAAUUCUCUAAAUUACUUACUAGCUGGUUGAGAAUUUGUGAUAUAUUUUGGUGUUUCUAACUUGACAUAAAUUAAUGUUGGAGUUGAUUUGAACCUUCAUUUGCUGCAGUUCUUUAUCACUUGUGCAAAAUGUGACUGGCUUGACAAUAAGCAUGUUGUAUUUGGGGUAUGUUCUCUAAUUCUUUUCUACAAUACUAUCUAGUUAGCUCCUAUUUGCUCGUCUAAUAUUUCAAUUAGACUUAAUAUUCCUUGGACUAGGUUCAACUAACGUCUAAAUAUUCAAUGUCGAUUUCAAAAGCAACCAACCAUGAUCUUACUUGCUGUAAAAAGCAAUCAAACCAACAACAGUUCAUAUCUUUUCAGCUUGGAGCAAUCUUCACACGCACAAUCAUGAAAAUAUCUUCCAGAUAUCAAUUCUAACCCAACCUCCUCUCUUUUUCCCUGUAUUAACUCUGAUUUAUUGUCUGCUAAUACUUUUUGUAGAGGGUGCUUGGAGAUGGUCUUUUGGUUGGCUACUGGACCCAACAACCGGCCUAAACUAGCAUGUGCUAUUGCUGAAUGUGGGGAAAUGUAGAAAUUGAAUUCAAGAGCAGAGCUUUCCAGGAUUUAUUGCAAACACUUGUAUAACCUCUUUUAGAUCAACAUCAUCUAACCAACUGAUCUUUGUCUUACAUUAUUGCUCCUUUUAGUGGGAAAUAUUCAUUCUCAAAAUGUUGGUAGAACCAAAAUACCUUGCACAUGUUGGCAUUGACAAGUUUACAUUGCUUCAUGGACAGCUUGUAAAAUUUUAAAUGAUUUUGCUUAAACCUUAUGAACAAUUUUAAGGUGACUGUUAGAUUGAUCGCUGUC